AGCGAACGCUGGCGGCAGGCCUAACACAUGCAAGUCGAACGAACUCUUCGGAGUUAGUGGCGGACGUGUGAGUAACACGUGGGAACGUGCCUUUUGGUUCGGAAUAACUCAGGGAAACUUGUGCUAAUACCGCAUGUGCCCUUCGGGGGUAAGAUUUAUCGCCAUUAGAGCGGCCCGCGUCUGAUUAGCUAGUUGGUGAGGUAACGGCUCACCAAGGCGACGAUCAGUAGCUGGUCUGAGAGGAUGACCAGCCACACUGGGACUGAGACACGGCCCAGACUCCUACGGGAAGCAGCAGUGGGGAAUCUUGCGCAAUGGGCGAAAGCCUGACGCAGCCAUGCCGCGUGAAUGAUGAAGGUCUUAGGAUUGUAAAAUUCUUUCACCGGGGACGAUAAUGACGGUACCCGGAGAAGAAGCCCCGGCUAACUUCGUG
Molecule: ribosomal RNA, 433 nt
Filed under: uncultured bacterium
Lineage: Bacteria
Description: partial 16S ribosomal RNA
Rfam family: Bacterial small subunit ribosomal RNA
Source: RNAcentral